CCUACGGGUGGCAGCAGUGAGGAAUAUUGGUCAAUGGACGAAAGUCUGAACCAGCCAAGCCGCGUGAAGGAUGACGGCUCUAUGGGUUGUAAACUUCUUUUAUAAGGGAAUAAAACGAGGUACGUGUGUCUGUAUGCAAGUAUCUUAUGAAUAAGGAUCGGCUAACUCCGUGCCAGCAGCCGCGGUAAUACGGAGGAUCCGAGCGUUAUCCGGAUUUAUUGGGUUUAAAGGGAGCGUAGUUGGGUUGUUAAGUUAGUUGUGAAAGGUCGAGGCUCAACCGUGAAAUUGCAAUUGAUACUGGCAGUCUAGAGUGUAGGUGAGGUAGGCGGAAUUCGUGGUGUAGCGGUGAAAUGCUUAGAUAUCACGAAGAACCCCGAUUGCGAAGGCAGCUUACUAAGCUAUGACUGACGUUGAGGCUCGAAAGUGUGGGGAGCAAACAGGAUUAGAUACCCCUGUAGUC
This 460-nucleotide ribosomal RNA is filed under the name uncultured bacterium. RNAcentral describes it as "partial 16S ribosomal RNA". It matches the Rfam family "Bacterial small subunit ribosomal RNA", at positions 338 to 795 of the family's 1533-position model. The record is from RNAcentral.